GAUGAACGCUGGCGGCGUGCCUAAUACAUGCAAGUCGAGCGAACAGACGAGGAGCUUGCUCCUCUGACGUUAGCGGCGGACGGGUGAGUAACACGUGGAUAACCUACCUAUAAGACUGGGAUAACUUCGGGAAACCGGAGCUAAUACCGGAUAAUAUAUUGAACCGCAUGGUUCAAUAGUGAAAGACGGUUUUGCUGUCACUUAUAGAUGGAUCCGCGCCGCAUUAGCUAGUUGGUAAGGUAACGGCUUACCAAGGCAACGAUGCGUAGCCGACCUGAGAGGGUGAUCGGCCACACUGGAACGGAGACACGGUCAAGACUCCUACGGGAGGCAGCAGUAGGGAAUCUUCCGCAAUGGGCGAAAGCCUGACGGAGCAACGCCGCGUGAGUGAUGAAGGUCUUCGGAUCGUAAAACUCUGUUAUUAGGGAAGAACAAAUGUGUAAGUAACUAUGCACGUAUUGACGGUACCUAAUCAGAAAGCCACGGCUAACUACGUG
This 497-nucleotide ribosomal RNA is filed under the name uncultured bacterium. RNAcentral describes it as "partial 16S ribosomal RNA". It matches the Rfam family "Bacterial small subunit ribosomal RNA", at positions 28 to 507 of the family's 1533-position model. The record is from RNAcentral.